Long non-coding RNA from Acinonyx jubatus (cheetah), 195 nucleotides. RefSeq lists it as uncharacterized. The transcript has 3 exons. The record is from RefSeq and is a predicted model, not a curated record. Lineage: Eukaryota; Metazoa; Chordata; Mammalia; Carnivora; Felidae.
AGGGCACCAAUCCGAGAUGCCCAGUGACUCAGCAGGAUGAGAAAAAUCUUCAUUGGAGUCCAGUGAAAAUCCAAGUGUCACAGAGAAAAAUCUUUGAGGCGGAUCUCAUUUUGCAAAAAUAAAGUGAUUCAAGCUCUGAUCCUUUGCGAGUGCAGAUAACGUAGUUGUUUCCCAAAUAACUUCUGAGGAUUCCAG